CCAGGGCCGGGACGUUCAGGGAGAGGGGUGGGGAGGUGGCGAUACAGGACGUGCAAACUCCGUUUUUCUACGAGGAGACAUUUAAAAACGUCUCGCACACGCGAAUGAUCUUUUAGGGGGUGAAGGAGUCUUGGUGUGAAAAGCAGUGCUCCCUCCGAGUGGAGGACCUCCCUGGUGGAAGUCGGGGGAAGGAAGACAAGCCAUCUGGACUUUGCGGAGGUAGCGGAGGUGGGGCGGAUCCAUUCCCCCUUCGGCUGGAGGCCAGGUCUCGUCGGCAGCCGGCCACCCCCCCCCCCCACCUCUGCACAACAAAGCUCUCGGAGGAGAGAGCACCCUAAAUUCCCUUCCCAGUCAGUCGAUCUCGGACCUGGGGAACCUCCCUCCCCCACUGCCGCGGCAGCCUAGCCCGACAUUCGCCCUGCCGGCCGAAGGACGAAUUCCCGGGACCUCUCGCAGUUACCUGCCCCACAACCCCGGCCCGCUCACCGUCUGCCAGGAAUUAAAGAAACGAGGCGCGGCGCGACCCCCACCGUGUGCGGGCGGAGUAACCGUAGCGAGGACAGAGCCGCACACUCCUUUCACGGCUUUCCUCCACAGCCCAGCGAAGAGCCCCCGGAGCCCGCCCGGGGGUCCAAGCCAGGUCUAGGGCCACACAGGUAGCAGGGGACCAGCCGCCAAGCGCCCGGCCCGCCCCCGCCCUCGCCCG
Molecule: long non-coding RNA, 706 nt
Filed under: Heterocephalus glaber (naked mole-rat)
Lineage: Eukaryota; Metazoa; Chordata; Mammalia; Rodentia; Bathyergidae
Description: lncRNA (ENSHGLG00100051596.1)
Source: RNAcentral